ACCAAUCCUGGAAAAAUUAGGUUAAAGUUAUAAAGCUAAUAUAAUUAGAGAUUCUACCUGCAAAACUAUAAACGCUUUCUUGCACUGAAUCAAGAAAUGGCGGCAACGUUAGAAGCUAUAAAUCAAUUCCGCCAAUCGUUGGAGAUACGAAGACAAUUAAUUUUGACAAAACCUCUAGUGAUGGUGGACAAUAUUCCCUGUGAAAUUGAUGAGGGUUUGUUUUUAGGUUAGGUUGAUUCUGCAUUGAACAAGGUUGGUUUGAAAAAUGUGAAUGUUACUCACAUUUUGACCGUGGCUUGUAAACUUCCACCUGCACAUCUUGCAGAUUUCAUCUAUAAAGUUCUAUAUGUUGCUGACAGAGAAACUACCAACUUAAAACAACAUUUCAAUGAGUGUUUUGAUUUCAUCGACGAAGCCAAAAGAAAUGGUGGACAUGUUUUGGUUCACCGUAAAAUGGGAAUAUCGAGGAGGUUUUCUCGCUAUCUCACUUCUUCACAACAUUGUUCACGUCCUUCCUGCUAACUUAGACUGCGGCUGCUUCUCUAUUUGUCAGAAAUGGAAAAUGAGGGUAGGAUUAAUAGUGAACAAUCCAUGAGUAACAUUAGAGCCCGACGUAAUUGGAAUGCAAUUGAAGAAGAAACUUUACUCACUAUAUUAGAAGAGAUGGUGGUUGCUGGAAACAAAGGACAGAAUGGAACAUUCAAGACUGAAACUCAUGAGGAAGUUUGCAAGAGAAUGAAAAAUAAAAUUCUAGGAAUACUUAUCAAUGCCAAGCAAAUUGUUAACAAGAUGAAAAGGUGGUCAACAAAGCUUAAUGAAGUUGUUGACAUGAUGAACACUAGUGGGCUUGGUUGGGAUGACACAAAAAAGUGUGUUAAAUGUGACAGCAGUCAAGUCUUAUCUCAAUAUUUGGAGAAACAUCCCAAAGUUGGCAACCAUGUCGAUAAAGUUUAAAGAGUUUGAGAGAUUGCAAGGUAUUUUUGGCAAAGAUCGUGCAAAUGGCUUCCGAGCUGAUGAUGGAAAUGGAAAUGAAACAAUUGAGAACCAAGUUAGUGAUAAUGAUGAGUUAGUGCACCAAUAUGAUGAUUCACCUAUUUCUGCAGGACCAUCUUCUAAACGACCUCGACUUGCUCAAUUGGCCACUAAUUUUCUGGAGAGUUUUAACAGUAAAAUGGAAGUUGUGUCAACUGAUUUUGCUAAAGCUAUAGGCAAAUUUUCAGAUCCUUCGAAGCCGGAUCCUUCAAAAUCCGACUUGGUUGAAGAGAUUAAGAAAUUGGGAUUAAUUGAUGAAGAAGAAAUUGACUUGGCAAUCAAAUUUUCUCACAACCAACAGUAUGAAAAAUUCUUUUGGGAGUUUGAAGGUUCCCAAAGAAUGUCUUUCGUGAGGAAGAUUAUGAGAAUGUGACAAGGCGUUCAAAUUUGAUGAUGAUAUAUGAAUGCAUGUUAGACAAGUCGCAUUUAUAAUUUAUGUUUUAGUUAAGACUUAUUUUGAAUCUUAUUAACAUUAGACUUGAACUUGGUUAACAUGUUUAUUUAGCCUAUAUUUUGGAUAUUAAU
Medicago truncatula (barrel medic) is the source of this 1557-nucleotide RNA transcript. RefSeq lists it as uncharacterized. The record is from RefSeq and is a predicted model, not a curated record. The transcript has 7 exons. Lineage: Eukaryota; Viridiplantae; Streptophyta; Magnoliopsida; Fabales; Fabaceae.